AUAUGAACCUUCACUUGCAACGAAGCCGGGUAACUUGAACAAGAUAAUAAGCAUCAAAGUCCCCGCUGCUGACGUCAAAAGCAGUAAUGAAGAGUGUCAUUCUAGUGCUUGGCCUGGCGACUCUGUUGUUCAUCGGCAGCGUCAACAGCCUAUACGACAGCAGGGGAGAUGAAGAUGAAACCGAUGGUGAAGAUGGUAGGAGCGAGUUUCAGGGAGGUAUGGGCGGAAGAAUGGGAGAUACUGAAGGUUUUGGUGGGAGUCACGGACGCUUGAACAACAUGGUUGGCCAUAGACAUGAGGGUAUGGGCGGUAGAAUGGGAGAUACUGAAGGUUUUGGUGGGGGUCACGGACGCUUUAGCAACAUGGUUGGCCAUAGACAUGAGGGUAUGGGAGGUGUUGGCGGAAGAAUGGGAGAUACUGAAGGUUUUGGUGGGAGUCACGGCCGCUUUAGCAACAUGGUUGGCCAUAGACAUGAGGGUAUGGGAGGUAUGGGCGGUAGUAUGGGAGGUAGGGGUG
This is a long non-coding RNA of Haliotis rufescens (red abalone), 516 nucleotides long. RefSeq lists it as uncharacterized. The transcript has 3 exons. The record is from RefSeq and is a predicted model, not a curated record. NCBI's taxonomy places the organism in Eukaryota, Metazoa, Mollusca, Gastropoda, Lepetellida, Haliotidae.